RNAcentral lists this ribosomal RNA (504 nucleotides) under uncultured Acidobacteriota bacterium. Its description in RNAcentral is "bacterial SSU rRNA". It matches the Rfam family "Bacterial small subunit ribosomal RNA", at positions 355 to 874 of the family's 1533-position model. The record is from RNAcentral. Lineage: Bacteria; Pseudomonadati; Acidobacteriota.
UCGGGAAUUUUGCGCAAUGGGCGAAAGCCUGACGCAGCAACGCCGCGUGAGGGAUGAAGGCCUUCGGGUUGUAAACCUCUUUUCUCAGGGACGAUGAUGACGGUACCUGAGGAAUAAGCCACGGCUAACUACGUGCCAGCAGCCGCGGUAAUACGUAGGUGGCAAGCGUUGUCCGGAUUUACCGGGCGUAAAGAGCGCGCAGGCGGUCGUUCAAGUCGCGUGUGAAAGCCCCCGGCUCAACUGGGGAGGGUCACGCGAUACUGAUCGACUCGAAGGCGGGAGAGGGAAGCGGAAUUCCCGGUGUAGUGGUGAAAUGCGUAGAUAUCGGGAGGAACACCAGUGGCGAAGGCGGCUUCCUGGCCCGUUCUUGACGCUGAGGUGCGAAAGCUAGGGGAGCAAACGGGAUUAGAUACCCCGGUAGUCCCUAGCCGUAAACGAUGGACACUAGGUGUUGGUGGUAUCAACCCCGCCAGUGCCGAAGCUAACGCAUUAAGUGUCCCGCCU